Molecule: ribosomal RNA, 253 nt
Filed under: uncultured bacterium
Lineage: Bacteria
Description: partial 16S ribosomal RNA
Rfam family: Bacterial small subunit ribosomal RNA
Source: RNAcentral
UACGUAGGGGGCUAGCGUUGUUCGGAAUCACUGGGCGUAAAGGGCGCGUAGGCGGCCAUAUAAGUCGGGGGUGAAAGCCUGUGGCUCAACCACAGAAUUGCCUUCGAUACUGUAUGGCUCGAGACCGGAAGAGGUAAGUGGAACUGCGAGUGUAGAGGUGAAAUUCGUAGAUAUUCGCAAGAACACCAGUGGCGAAGGCGGCUUACUGGUCCGGUUCUGACGCUGAGGCGCGAAAGCGUGGGGAGCAAACAGG